GUGAGAUCUCAGGAAUAGUGAUAGAAUUCAUUUUAAAUAAGUCUGUGUGAUUUUUCUACUGUAUCAUUUCAGGGACUUUGCUUAAAGAGGCUUUAAGGAAGAACUUAAAAUGGAGAAAGCCAACUUUUGAACGUGGUGAUCAGGUUGCCUUCAGUCUCUUCUACGUCAGGGAGUCAAGGGGCUGUGGAACCAUCCGUUCCACCUGCUACAUGCUUUCUCACCCUUCUCCUAACCUGACAAAUACUAUGUGGCAUCUCCAUCAUGGUUGACAUUGCUAGGCCCUACCUUAUUCAACUCUAACUGAAAAAUGGGGAGCAAGACGGGAUUAUGUAAGAAAAAAUGAAAAACUUUGAGGGCCAACUAACAGAUUUCCUAAACUAAUGAUGUAUUUUAAUAUUCCAGGGAUUUGAUUUAGGACAAAUUGUUAUUUGGAUGGAUGCUUGUCUAUUGAGAGAGUAAUUGUUAAACUAAAGGAAACUGGUCACAAAUACUUUAGCAAUGGCUAUAAAUGACCAGUGGGCCAAGGAUUUUGAGAUCGUGAGAGACUUCUCCAGGAAUGUUGUCAUUCAUUUCACUCCAGUGUGGCUCUUUUCCUCCAUCUGCGCUCACUUUUCUAGGAGAACUAUGGCCACUAUGGAGAAUAUGAAAACAUUGCUGAAGGAGGUGAAAGCCAUUUCAGAAGAAGAGUUAUAUAUUAGCUUUUGGCAGUGACAGCGUUAUGGGCACGGACAUUCAGCCUUUCCAGUUGACUGCUUUGAAGGGGCAAUGUUCACGUGGAAGUAUACCUCCUAGUACGUUUGCUAAAAUAAAAUCAGCUUCAUUACCUAAUAAC
RNAcentral lists this long non-coding RNA (832 nucleotides) under Pan troglodytes (chimpanzee). Its description in RNAcentral is "long non-coding RNA NONPTRT005381". The record is from RNAcentral. Lineage: Eukaryota; Metazoa; Chordata; Mammalia; Primates; Hominidae.